GUAAAUAUAGUUUAUUAAAACACCAGACUGUGAAUUUGGUAAUAGAAGCUAAGACUUCUUGUUUACC
RNAcentral lists this transfer RNA (67 nucleotides) under Macroderma gigas (Australian ghost bat). RNAcentral's name for it is "tRNA-His". It matches the Rfam family "tRNA". From Rfam's summary of the family: Transfer RNA (tRNA) molecules are approximately 80 nucleotides in length. Their secondary structure includes four short double-helical elements and three loops (D, anti-codon, and T loops). Lineage: Eukaryota; Metazoa; Chordata; Mammalia; Chiroptera; Megadermatidae. The record is from RNAcentral.